Molecule: long non-coding RNA, 2112 nt
Filed under: Gallus gallus (chicken)
Lineage: Eukaryota; Metazoa; Chordata; Aves; Galliformes; Phasianidae
Description: lncRNA (ENSGALG00010000371.1)
Source: RNAcentral
GGGCACAGAAGAUUUGUGGGGAUAAUGGGGAAAUCCGGGGGGGGAGGAAUGGGAUUUUGGGGGGGGGGGGGGGGGGGAGGGUCCAAAAACCUCCAUUGAGAAUGGGGGUAAAAAAAAAAAAGGUUAAAAAGAGCCAUUUUUGGGGGGGUGAAAAGUCUUUAUUGCCACCCCCACCCCACUGCAGCGCCACCAUUGGGCCACCACUGCGGGGCCGCCAUUUUGGGGCCGCCAUUUUGUCCCCCAUUCAUCUCCAUUGGCUCCAUUUCGCCCCCCAUUCAUUCAUUCCAAUGCCAUUUUGUCCCCCAUUCAUUCCAAUGCCGCCAUUUUGUCCCCCAUUCAUUUCCACUGACUCCAUUUUGUCCCCCAUUCAUUCAUUCCAAUGCCAUUUUGUCCCCCAUUCAUUUCCAUUGACGCCAUUUUCUCCUCCAUUCAUCUCCAUUGACUCUGUUUUGCCCCCCGUUCAUUUCAAUGCCACCAUUUUGUCCCCCAUUCAUCUCCAUUGACUCCAUUUUGUCCCCCAUUCAUUCAUUCCAAUGCCAUUUUGUCCCCCAUUCAUUCCAAUGCUGCCAUUUUGUCCCCCAUUCAUUUCCACUGACUCCAUUUUGUCCCCCAUUCAUUCAUUCCAAUGCCAUUUUGUCCCCCAUUCAUUUCCAUUGACGCCAUUUUCUCCUCCAUUCAUCUCCAUUGACUCUGUUUUGCCCCCCGUUCAUUUCAAUGCCACCAUUUUGUCCCCCAUUCAUCUCCAUUGACUCCAUUUCAUCCCCCAUUCAUUCAUUCCAAUGCCAUUUUGUCCCCCAUUCAUUCCAAUGCCACCAUUUUGCCCCUCAUUCAUUUCCAUUGACGCCAUUUUCUCCUCCAUUCAUCUCCACUGAUUCCAUUUUGUCCUCCAUUCAUCUCCACUGCCACCAUUUUGCCCCCCAUUCAUCUCCAUUGACACCAUUUUGUCCCCCAUUCACUCCAAUGUUACCACUUUGUAACCCAUUCAUGCUGCCAUUUUGUCCCCCAUUCAUUCCAAUGUCAUCACUUUGCCCCCCAUUCAUUUCCAUGGACUCCAUUUUGCCCCCCAUUCAUUCCAAUGCCGCCAUUUUGUCCCCCAUUCAUUUCCAUUGACUCCAUUUUGCCCCCCAUUCAUUUCAAUGCCACCGUUUAAUCCCCAUUCAUCUCUACUGACUCCAUUUCUUCCCCCAUUCAUCUCCACUGCCACCAUUUUGCCCCCCAUUCAUCUCCAUUGACUCCAUUUUGUCCACCAUUCAUUCCAAUGCCACCACUUUUAUCACCCAUCCAUUCCAAUACCUCCAUUUUGUCCCCCAUCCAUUCAUUCCAACGCCACCACUUUGUCCCCAUUCAUCUCCAUUGACUCCAUUUUGUCCCCCAUUCAUUCCAACGCCGCCAUUUUGUCCCCCAUUCAUUUCCAUUGACUCCAUUUUGUCCCCCAUUCAUUCCAAUGUCAUCACUUUGCCCCCCAUUCAUUUCCAUUGACUCCAUUUCGUCCCCCAUUCAUUCCAAUGCCGCCAUUUUGUCCCCCAUUCACUUCCAUUGAUGCCAUUUUCUCCUCCAUUCAUCUCCAUUGACUCUGUUUUGCCCCCCAUUCAUCUCCACUGAUUCCAUUUCGUCCCCCAUUCAUUUCCACUGCCACCAUUUUGUCCCCCAUUCAUUUCAAUGCCACCAUUUUGCCCCCCAUUCAUCUCCAUUGACUCCAUUUUGUCCCCCAUUCAUCUCCACUGCCACCAUUUUGCCCCCCAUUCAUCUCCAUUGACUCCAUUUUGUCCCCCAUUCAUUCCAACGCCACCAUUUUGUCCCCCAUUCAUUUCCAUUGACUCCAUUUUGUCCCCCAUUCGUUUCAAUGCCACCAUUUUGCCCCCCAUUCAUCUCCAUUGACUCCAUUUUGUCCCCCAUUCAUCCAUUCCAAUGCCAUUUUGCCCCCCAUUCAUUCCAAUGUCACCACUUUGUCCCCCAUUCAUUUCCAUGCCACCGUUCUCUCCUCCAUUCAUCUCCAUUGACUCCAUUUUGUCCCCCAUCCCUUCCACUGCCACCACUGUCCCCCCAUUGACGCCCCCAUCCUACCCACGUCUCACCACUCCGCCACCGUCCCGUUGUCCCCAACGCCUCCAC